Molecule: ribosomal RNA, 401 nt
Filed under: Crustacea environmental sample
Lineage: Eukaryota; Metazoa; Arthropoda
Description: partial small subunit ribosomal RNA
Rfam family: Eukaryotic small subunit ribosomal RNA
Source: RNAcentral
GCUUGUCUCAAAGAUUAAGCCAUGCAUGUCCAAGUACACGCCUUCACACGGCGAGACUGCGAAUGGCUCAUUAAAUCAGUUAUGGUUCCUUAGAUCGUACAAUCCUACUUGGAUAACUGAGGUAAUUCUUGAGCUAAUACAUGCGAAAAAUCUCGACUCACGGAGAGAUGCUUUUAUUAGAUCAAAACCAAACGGCUUCGGCCGUCUCAUUGGUGACUCUGAAUAACUUUGGGCUGAUCGUAUGGCCUUGUGCCGACGACGUUUCCUUCGAAGGUGUGCCCUAUCAACUGUCGACUGUGAUAUAGACGCUCACAGUGGUUUUGACGGGUAACGGGGAAUCAGGGUUCGAUUCCGGAGAGGGAGCCUUAAAAACGGCUACCACAUCCAAGGAAGGCAGCAGG